UGGGUAUAUACACGAUAGACUGCUAAAACAAUUAUAACGUGUGUUGGACCGUUCGAUUCUCGUACGAAAUCACAGGUGUUUAUAACAAAAACCGUAGAUUUUAGCAAUGUUUUUGUUGGAGACGCGCGGUUUGAUUCGUGGCCCUCAUAUUAUGGAACUUACCGUACUGCACUUUUAUACUGCGAUAACUGUUGUAUCUGUCUCGUAGUCAUAGGCCGUGAUUGUUAACGAUCAUAUUACGCGGCUACAUAGUGAUAAUCGCAGUUUUCGUAGCGUAAAUGGCUCGCGAACAUCGAAUUAAAAGACGGAUUGAAAACAUUCGUGUCUCGUCAAGUGCAGCCAGCAAUCUAAUUUGUUUUAUUGAAAUAUCCGCGCACAAAAUAACAAUAAUAAUGUACGGGCUUAUCGCGUGGUACCGACG
This is a non-coding RNA of Cinara cedri, 421 nucleotides long. The record is from the annotation of a GenBank genome assembly. NCBI's taxonomy places the organism in Eukaryota, Metazoa, Arthropoda, Insecta, Hemiptera, Aphididae.